This 398-nucleotide ribosomal RNA is filed under the name uncultured bacterium. RNAcentral describes it as "partial 16S ribosomal RNA". It matches the Rfam family "Bacterial small subunit ribosomal RNA", at positions 523 to 918 of the family's 1533-position model. The record is from RNAcentral.
AUACGUAGGGUGCGAGCGUUGUCCGGAAUUACUGGGCGUAAAGAGCUCGUAGGUGGUUUGUCGCGUCGUCUGUGAAGUUCCGGGGCUUAACUCCGGGCGUGCAGGCGAUACGGGCAUAACUUGAGUACUGUAGGGGAGACUGGAAUUCCUGGUGUAGCGGUGAAAUGCGCAGAUAUCAGGAGGAACACCGGUGGCGAAGGCGGGUCUCUGGGCAGUAACUGACGCUGAGGAGCGAAAGCAUGGGUAGCGAACAGGAUUAGAUACCCUGGUAGUCCAUGCCGUAAACGGUGGGCGCUAGGUGUAGGGGUCUUCCACGACUUCCGUGCCGUAGCUAACGCAUUAAGCGCCCCGCCUGGGGAGUACGGCCGCAAGGCUAAAACUCAAAGGAAUUGACGGGG